UGGGGAAUAUUGGACAAUGGGCGAAAGCCUGAUCCAGCCAUGCCGCGUGUGUGAAGAAGGCCUUUUGGUUGUAAAGCACUUUAAGCGAGGAGGAGGCUACUUGGAUUAAUACUCUAGGAUAGUGGACGUUACUCGCAGAAUAAGCACCGGCUAACUCUGUGCCAGCAGCCGCGGUAAUACAGAGGGUGCGAGCGUUAAUCGGAUUUACUGGGCGUAAAGCGUGCGUAGGCGGCUUUUUAAGUCGGAUGUGAAAUCCCUGAGCUUAACCUAGGAAUUGCAUUUGAUACUGGGAAGCUAGGGGAUGGGAGAGGAUGGUAGAAUUCCAGGUGUAGCGGUGAAAUGCGUAGAGAUCUGGAGGAAUACCGAUGGCGAAGGCAGCCAUCUGGCCUAAUACUGACGCUGAGGUACGAAAGCAUGGGGAGCAAACAGG
This 430-nucleotide ribosomal RNA is filed under the name bacterium. Its description in RNAcentral is "partial 16S ribosomal RNA". It matches the Rfam family "Bacterial small subunit ribosomal RNA", at positions 355 to 776 of the family's 1533-position model. The record is from RNAcentral.